Molecule: microRNA precursor, 205 nt
Organism: Oryza rufipogon (brownbeard rice)
Lineage: Eukaryota; Viridiplantae; Streptophyta; Magnoliopsida; Poales; Poaceae
Rfam family: MIR812 microRNA precursor family
Source: Rfam
AAUAAGUGCAGUUUUGCACUGUUCAUGUCUAACGUUUCACCGUUCGUCUUAUUUAAAAAAAAAUAUGAUUAGUACUUUUAUUGUUAUUAGAUGAUAAAAUAUGAAUAGUAUUUUAUGCGUGACUAAUUUUUUUUAUUUUUUUAUAAUUUUUUAAAUUAGACGGACGGUCAAAUGUUGGAUACGGAUACCCAUGUUUACACUUAUU